GACGAACGCUGGCGGCGUGCUUAACACAUGCAAGUCGAACGGAAAGGCCCUGCUAUUGUGGGGUGCUCGAGUGGCGAACGGGUGAGUAACACGUGAGUAACCUGCCCUUGACUUUGGGAUAACUUCAGGAAACUGGGGCUAAUACCGGAUAGGAGCUCCUGCUGCAUGGUGGGGGUUGGAAAGUCUCGGCGGGUGGGGAUGGACUCGCGGCUUAUCAGCUUGUUGGUGGGGUAGUGGCUUACCAAGGCUUUGACGGGUAGCCGGCCUGAGAGGGUGACCGGCGACAUUGGGACUGAGAUACGGCGCAGUGUGCUACGGGAGGCAGCAGUGGGGAAUAUUGCACAAUGGGCGGAAGCCUGAUGAAGCAACGCCGCGUGUGGGAUGACGGCCUGCGGGUUGUAAACCGCUUUCGCCUGUGACGAAGCGUGAGUGACGGUAAUGGGUAAAGAAGCACCGGCUAACUACGUG
RNAcentral lists this ribosomal RNA (468 nucleotides) under uncultured bacterium. RNAcentral's name for it is "partial 16S ribosomal RNA". It matches the Rfam family "Bacterial small subunit ribosomal RNA", at positions 28 to 507 of the family's 1533-position model. The record is from RNAcentral.